RNAcentral lists this ribosomal RNA (427 nucleotides) under uncultured bacterium. Its description in RNAcentral is "partial 16S ribosomal RNA". It matches the Rfam family "Bacterial small subunit ribosomal RNA", at positions 355 to 774 of the family's 1533-position model. The record is from RNAcentral.
UGGGGAAUAUUGGACAAUGGGCGAAAGCCUGAUCCAGCCAUGCCGCGUGUGUGAAGAAGGUCUUCGGAUUGUAAAGCACUUUAAGUUGGGAGGAAGGGCAUUAACCUAAUACGUUAGUGUUUUGACGUUACCGACAGAAUAAGCACCGGCUAACUCUGUGCCAGCAGCCGCGGUAAUACAGAGGGUGCAAGCGUUAAUCGGAAUUACUGGGCGUAAAGCGCGCGUAGGUGGUUUGUUAAGUUGGAUGUGAAAUCCCCGGGCUCAACCUGGGAACUGCAUUCAAAACUGACUGACUAGAGUAGGGUAGAGGGUGGUGGAAUUUCCUGUGUAGCGGUGAAAUGCGUAGAUAUAGGAAGGAACACCAGUGGCGAAGGCGACCACCUGGACUAAUACUGACACUGAGGUGCGAAAGCGUGGGGAGCAAACA